This 1578-nucleotide long non-coding RNA is filed under the name Anas platyrhynchos platyrhynchos (common mallard). Its description in RNAcentral is "lncRNA (ENSAPLG00000031183.1)". Lineage: Eukaryota; Metazoa; Chordata; Aves; Anseriformes; Anatidae. The record is from RNAcentral.
GUGAUGAUAUAUGGCCUCAAUAUGGCAUGGUCCCAUAACUAUCUGUACCUUGACCCACAAUUAUCUUACAUCCUGCAUACAACUUUGCUGUCUCUGGAGGAGAGCGCAUAUUAGUGCCCUGCACCAAGACCAUCUAUGUUACGGAGACAAUGCUGCCAACAAAUGUUCCUUCCCAAGAAAGACUCUGAAAACAGGCUGAUGUGUUGCACAACCUGGUCAGUAUGGCUUUGUUCACACUAUGUAGAAAAUCGUCCUAGUGUUCAAAAAGGAGGAUUUGAGGAAAGUCCAGUCACCUUUUUUUCUCUCUUCCUCAGCAACAAAACAUGUUGACUUUAAAGAUCAUUCAAAACCUAUCCUUUUGCAAGUCUAUUGUGGUGUGUGGAAUUGCCCAGCUGGAUUGAUGUUGCAAGAUAUUUGGAAAGCAAGUUCAAACAUUUACUUGAGAAUUGGAUUGUGGAAGGAAUUUCUUUUUUUUUUUUUUUCUUCUGUAUUUCAGUACUACUUGAACCAGUAAUAUAUGACCAUUAUUUGGCCUCCAAUUUAUUUUGAACUCAUUGAGGAUUUGUGGUAACCCUCACAGUAAUUUCUUAUUGUGUUUUGCAAAAGCCUUACCUCUGCUUUACAUAGUCAUUAUCAGGAUAACAAUAAUUGCUCUGACAGUCCACAGAGUGAGAAGGAGAUAGUAAGGAAGUUCUAAAAAGUAGCUUUAUUUCCCCGUCAUUCAAGAGAGCUAACUGCUUCAGAAUAAGGAAAGACUUACUGAAUAUAUUUUAUUAGCUUGCUGUGAACCAUCACAGAGAACUGAUUAUUUCUCAGGCCAGUCUACAAUAACCAAUCCCUCUGGCUUGUCUCCAGUAUUAUCUAGAAAAAUUUCUUCCUCAGGCAAGAUGUCCCAGUGUGAUUUACAGCCCAAUCUGGCUAUCCAGGCAGAUAUUCGGUCUCCUGAGUAAUAUGGAAAAAAAACUUCUCUCCUUUAUUCAGCUAAACUUCUUUUUGCAGAGGGAACUUUUUUAGGAGCACAAUUAGACUCUGUCCAAAACUUUUUAUGGUUUCCUCAAAUGGAGAUGCCAAAACACUCAGCACUGAUCAAGCAGUCUUCCCACUAAGGCCAAUGGGAUCAAAGUGAGCCUCUGAAAGAGGAGUUCCUGAAAACACACAUAUCCUGUUAGACAUCUAAGUGCUCUGGGCUAUAAAAGCAGCUAUUGUAGGCAGCUAUAAAUGUUUAGUAUUUGCAUUCUAAUAGCAUCCAAAAUGUGUCCUGCUGUGUCCACACCUUCAUGAAAUUGGGGUUAAAGGAAUUCAUUUUGGCAUUGUUUUAGUACUAUCAGAACUUCCCACUGAUUCUUUGAUUCAAAACAUUUACUUUUGCUACUACAGUAAAAAAUUUACUUAUGUAUAAAUAGGCUGUCUUGGGUUGACAUUUUGUAUUAUGAAUUUUAAUUGCCUAAUUUUUUGUUGUUGGUGGUGUUGUUUAAUUAUUUUAUAUUUCACAAUGCAGUUAAAGCUCUAUUGUUUGUGGAUUGUAAUGAAUGAAGAACUGGAAAUAAAAUUCCUUCAUUACUAGGAUGAAUAGAAACC